Molecule: ribosomal RNA, 581 nt
Filed under: Meyerozyma guilliermondii
Lineage: Eukaryota; Fungi; Ascomycota; Pichiomycetes; Serinales; Debaryomycetaceae
Description: eukaryotic LSU rRNA
Rfam family: 5.8S ribosomal RNA (bases 173-326)
Source: RNAcentral
GGGGCUCGCAGUCGUUUGCUGCGCUUACUGCGCGGCGAAUGACCUUACACACAGGGUCUUUUUGAUACAGAACUCUUGCUUUGGUUUGGCCUAGAGAUAGGUUGGGCCAGAGGUUUAACAAAACACAAUUUAAUUAUUUUUACGGUUAGUCAAAUUUUGAAUUAAUCUUCAAAACUUUCAACAACGGAUCUCUUGGUUCUCGCAUCGAUGAAGAACGCAACGAAAUGCGAUAAGUAAUAUGAAUUGCGGAUUUUCGUGAAUCAUCGAAUCUUUGAACGCACAUUGCGCCCUCUGGUAUUCCAGAGGGCAUGCCUGUUUGAGCGUCAUUUCUCUCUCAUACCCCCGGGUUUGGUAUUGAGUGAUACUCUUAGUCCGACUAGGCGUUUGCUUGAAAAGUAUUGGCAUGGGUAGUACUAGAUAGUGCUGUCGACCUCUCAAUGUAUUAGGUUUAUCCAACUCGUUGAAUGGUGUGGCGGGAUAUUUCUGGUAUUGUUGGCCCGGCCUUACAACAACCAAACAAGUUUGACCUCAAAUCAGGUAGGAAUACCCGCUGAACUUAAGCAUAUCAUAGCCGGAAGGAA